This 579-nucleotide ribosomal RNA is filed under the name uncultured bacterium. RNAcentral describes it as "partial 16S ribosomal RNA". It matches the Rfam family "Bacterial small subunit ribosomal RNA", at positions 355 to 932 of the family's 1533-position model. The record is from RNAcentral.
UGGGGAAUUUUGGACAAUGGGCGAAAGCCUGAUCCAGCAAUGCCGCGUGUGUGAAGAAGGCCUUCGGGUUGUAAAGCACUUUUGUCCGGAAAGAAAUCCUUGGCUCUAAUACAGUCGGGGGAUGACGGUACCGGAAGAAUAAGCACCGGCUAACUACGUGCCAGCAGCCGCGGUAAUACGUAGGGUGCAAGCGUUAAUCGGAAUUACUGGGCGUAAAGCGUGCGCAGGCGGUUUGCUAAGACCGAUGUGAAAUCCCCGGGCUCAACCUGGGAACUGCAUUGGUGACUGGCAGGCUAGAGUAUGGCAGAGGGGGGUAGAAUUCCACGUGUAGCAGUGAAAUGCGUAGAGAUGUGGAGGAAUACCGAUGGCGAAGGCAGCCCCCUGGGCCAAUACUGACGCUCAUGCACGAAAGCGUGGGGAGCAAAACAGGAUUAGAUACCCUGGUAGUCCACGCCCUAAAANGAUGUCAACUAGUUGUGGGGAUUCAUUUCCUAGUAACGUAGCUAACGCGUGAAGUUGACCGCCUGGGGAGUACGGUCGCAAGAUUAAAACUCAAAUGAAUUGACGGGGUCAUAGCUG